Molecule: unclassified non-coding RNA, 164 nt
Filed under: plant metagenome
Description: partial contains 5.8S ribosomal RNA, internal transcribed spacer 2, and large subunit ribosomal RNA
Source: RNAcentral
GAGUAGAUGAUUAAAAAAAAAAGAAAUUAUAUUCUUUUUUUUUUUUUUCCCGAAAUCUGUUAGUAAUUUUUAAGAUAAUACCCUUUUUUUUUUUAAAAAAAAAAAGAAAAAAAAGAAAAAAAAGAUGACCUCAAAUCAAGCAGGAUUACUCGCUGAAUUUAAGC